UUCGGAUUGUAGUCUGCAACCCGACUACAUGAAGCUGGAAUCGCUAGUAAUCGCGGAUCAGAAUGCCGCGGUGAAUACGUUCCCGGGUCCUGUACACACCGCCCGUCACACCAUGGGAGUCGGAAAUGCCCGAAGUCUGUGACCCAACCAUUAAGGAGGGAGCAGCCGAAGGCAGGUCGGAUGACUGGGGUGAAGUCGUAACAAGGUACC
RNAcentral lists this ribosomal RNA (210 nucleotides) under uncultured bacterium. Its description in RNAcentral is "partial 16S ribosomal RNA". It matches the Rfam family "Bacterial small subunit ribosomal RNA", at positions 1292 to 1500 of the family's 1533-position model. The record is from RNAcentral.